Molecule: ribosomal RNA, 782 nt
Filed under: Enterobacter sp. HMI18
Lineage: Bacteria; Pseudomonadati; Pseudomonadota; Gammaproteobacteria; Enterobacterales; Enterobacteriaceae
Description: bacterial SSU rRNA
Rfam family: Bacterial small subunit ribosomal RNA
Source: RNAcentral
GAUGACGCUGGCGGCAGGCCUAACACAUGCAAGUCGAACGGUAGCACAGAGAGCUUGCUCUCCGGUGACGAGUGGCGGACGGGUGAGUAAUGUCUGGGAAACUGCCUGAUGGAGGGGGAUAACUACUGGAAACGGUAGCUAAUACCGCAUAACGUCGCAAGACCAAAGAGGGGGACCUUCGGGCCUCUUGCCAUCAGAUGUGCCCAGAUGGGAUUAGCUAGUAGGUGGGGUAACGGCUCACCUAGGCGACGAUCCCUAGCUGGUCUGAGAGGAUGACCAGCCACACUGGAACUGAGACACGGUCCAGACUCCUACGGGAGGCAGCAGUGGGGAAUAUUGCACAAUGGGCGCAAGCCUGAUGCACCCAUGCCGCGUGUAUGAAGAAGGCCUUCGGGUUGUAAAGUACUUUCAGCGGGGAGGAAGGUGUUGUGGUUAAUAACCGCAGCAAUUGACGUUACCCGCAGAUAAAAGCACAGGGCUAACUCCGUGCCAGCAGCCGCGGUAAUACGGAGGGUGCAAGCGUUAAUCGGAAUUACUGGGCGUAAAGCGCACGCAGGCGGUCUGUCAAGUCGGAUGUGAAAUCCCCGGGCUCAACCUGGGAACUGCAUUCGAAACUGGCAGGCUGGGAGUCUCGUAGAGGGAGGUAGAAUUCCAGGUGUAGCGGUGAAAUGCGUAGAGAUCUGGAGGAAUACCGGUGGCGAAGGCGGCCUCCUGGACGAGACUGACGCUCAGUGCGAAAGCGUGGGAGCAAACAGGAUUAAUACCCUGGUAGUCCACGCUGU